GGGCACUUGGUCUAGGGGUAUGAUUUUCGCUUCGCAUGGCUUAAAAUGUUUGUGAAAGGUCGUGGGUUCAAUUCCCACAGUGUCCA
This 86-nucleotide transfer RNA is filed under the name Neofusicoccum parvum UCRNP2. It matches the Rfam family "tRNA". From Rfam's summary of the family: Transfer RNA (tRNA) molecules are approximately 80 nucleotides in length. Their secondary structure includes four short double-helical elements and three loops (D, anti-codon, and T loops). The record is from Rfam by way of RNAcentral. Lineage: Eukaryota; Fungi; Ascomycota; Dothideomycetes; Botryosphaeriales; Botryosphaeriaceae.